RNAcentral lists this ribosomal RNA (253 nucleotides) under uncultured bacterium. RNAcentral's name for it is "partial 16S ribosomal RNA". It matches the Rfam family "Bacterial small subunit ribosomal RNA", at positions 524 to 776 of the family's 1533-position model. The record is from RNAcentral.
UACGUAGGGACCAAGCGUUGUUCGGAUUUACUGGGCGUAAAGGGCGCGUAGGCGGCGCGGUAAGUCACUUGUGAAAUCUCUGAGCUUAACUCAGAACGGCCAAGUGAUACUGCAGUGCUAGAGUGUGGAAGGGGCAAUCGGAAUUCUUGGUGUAGCGGUGAAAUGCGUAGAUAUCAAGAGGAACACCUGAGGUGAAGACGGGUUGCUGGGCCAACACUGACGCUGAUGCGCGAAAGCCAGGGGAGCAACCGGG